UACGAAAGGGGCUAGUGUUGUUCGGAAUUACUGGGAGAAAAGCGCACGUAGGCGGCCUUGUAAGAUGGGGGUGAAAUCCCCGGGCUCAACCCGGGAACUGCCUUCAUGACUGCAAAGCUUGAGGAUGCGAGAGGUUAGCGGAAUUCCGAGUGUAGAGGUGAAAUUCGUAGAUAUUCGGAAGAACACCAGUGGCGAAGGCGGCUAACUGGCGCAUUUCUGACGCUGAGGUGCGAAAGCGUGUGGAGCAAACAGG
RNAcentral lists this ribosomal RNA (253 nucleotides) under uncultured bacterium. RNAcentral's name for it is "partial 16S ribosomal RNA". It matches the Rfam family "Bacterial small subunit ribosomal RNA", at positions 524 to 776 of the family's 1533-position model. The record is from RNAcentral.